Molecule: ribosomal RNA, 253 nt
Filed under: uncultured bacterium
Lineage: Bacteria
Description: partial 16S ribosomal RNA
Rfam family: Bacterial small subunit ribosomal RNA
Source: RNAcentral
UACGGAGGGGGCUAGCGUUGUUCGGAAUUACUGGGCGUAAAGCGCACGUAGGCGGCUUGUUAAGUCGGGUGUGAAAUCCCUGGGCUCAACCUAGGACGUGCACCUGAAACUGGCGAGCUUGAGUCUCGGAGAGGUUGGUGGAAUUCCCAGUGUAGAGGUGAAAUUCGUAGAUAUUGGGAGGAACACCGGUGGCGAAGGCGGCCAACUGGACGAGGACUGACGCUGAGGUGCGAAAGCGUGGGGAUCAAACAGG